AAAAAAUGUAUGAUAGAAGAUUUGGAGUUCGCUAGAAAAGCUCUACCUGUAUGAUCAAAGAACACGAAUUCUGGAAUUCAGGUACUCAUAUGGUAGUUAUUCAGGAUUUGUAAUCACACUUUAAGUAGAUAUUAUGCAAUGUGAAACCAACCCAGGCCUGAUUCUUCAACCACUGACAAGGAACUUGCUUCUAUGAUCGAGAGUGUUUCCGAGAAACAACAUUUUAC
Rosa chinensis is the source of this 227-nucleotide long non-coding RNA. RefSeq lists it as uncharacterized. NCBI's taxonomy places the organism in Eukaryota, Viridiplantae, Streptophyta, Magnoliopsida, Rosales, Rosaceae. The record is from RefSeq and is a predicted model, not a curated record. The transcript is spliced from 3 exons.